GGAAAGUCUGGGCAACAUAGAGCAGCGUACUUCCUAACGGGAAGGUCUUGUCGAAGGAAUUUGGCAGGAACAGAAAGUGCCGCAGAAAGGAAAACUACCUGGAGUAUUACGAAGGGAAAAGGUGAAAAGGUGAGGUAAGAGCUCACCGUGCUUCAAGUGAUUGAAGUUGCAAGGUAAACCUUACGCGUUGAAAGACCAUGUAAACCAAGGUUUGAGGGUUGCUCGCCCGAACUUGGAGGGUAGGUUGAUUGAUCCCGAUUGUGAAGUCGGGGCUAGAUAAAUGAUAAACAGCUUGUGAAAACAAGUUACAGGACCCG
RNAcentral lists this RNase P RNA (317 nucleotides) under Alexandrium margalefii. RNAcentral's name for it is "partial Bacterial RNase P class A". It matches the Rfam family "Bacterial RNase P class A", at positions 45 to 346 of the family's 367-position model. From Rfam's summary of the family: Ribonuclease P (RNase P) is a ubiquitous endoribonuclease, found in archaea, bacteria and eukarya as well as chloroplasts and mitochondria. Its best characterised activity is the generation of mature 5'-ends of tRNAs by cleaving the 5'-leader elements of precursor-tRNAs. Cellular RNase Ps are ribonucleoproteins. Lineage: Eukaryota; Dinophyceae; Gonyaulacales; Pyrocystaceae. The record is from RNAcentral.